This 278-nucleotide ribosomal RNA is filed under the name uncultured Staphylococcus sp. Its description in RNAcentral is "partial 16S ribosomal RNA". It matches the Rfam family "Bacterial small subunit ribosomal RNA", at positions 505 to 781 of the family's 1533-position model. Lineage: Bacteria; Bacillati; Bacillota; Bacilli; Caryophanales; Staphylococcaceae. The record is from RNAcentral.
GUGCCAGCAGCCGCGGUAAUACGUAGGUGGCAAGCGUUAUCCGGAAUUAUUGGGCGUAAAGCGCGCGUAGGCGGUUUUUUAAGUCUGAUGUGAAAGCCCACGGCUCAACCGUGGAGGGUCAUUGGAAACUGUAAAACUUGAGUGCAGAAGAGUGAAAGUGGAAUUCCAUGUGUAGCGGUGAAAUGCGCAGAGAUAUGGAGGAACACCAGUGGCGAAGGCGACUUUCUGGUCUGUAACUGACGCUGAUGUGCGAAAGCGUGGGGAUCAAACAGGAUUAG